GGGAGCCGGAUGAGGUGCGAGCCUCAUGUCCGGUUCUACGAGAGCCUCGGGGCGAAAUUCCCCGAGGCUACUCACC
This is a non-coding RNA of Burkholderia sp., 76 nucleotides long. The record is from Rfam. Lineage: Bacteria; Pseudomonadati; Pseudomonadota; Betaproteobacteria; Burkholderiales; Burkholderiaceae.